GCCGGGCAUGGUGGCGCAUGCCUGUAAUCCCAGCUACUCAGGAGGCUGAGGCAGGAGAAUCACUUGAACCCAGGAGAGAGAGGUUGCAGUGGGCCUAGAUUGAGCCACUACACUCCAGCCUGGGCAACAGAGCAAGACCCUGUCUCAA
Molecule: unclassified non-coding RNA, 148 nt
Organism: Pongo abelii (Sumatran orangutan)
Lineage: Eukaryota; Metazoa; Chordata; Mammalia; Primates; Hominidae
Rfam family: Metazoan signal recognition particle RNA
About the family: The signal recognition particle (SRP) is a universally conserved ribonucleoprotein. It is involved in the co-translational targeting of proteins to membranes.
Source: Ensembl